Molecule: non-coding RNA, 109 nt
Organism: Acanthosepion pharaonis
Lineage: Eukaryota; Metazoa; Mollusca; Cephalopoda; Sepiida; Sepiidae
Source: the annotation of a GenBank genome assembly
CGGGCAUAUAACAUUGAAACACAGGUUCUCGUACGAUCACCGAAGUUAAGCAACGUUGAGCCUGGUCAGUACAUUGAUGGGUAACCGCUUCGGAAUACCAGGUGCUGUG